RNAcentral lists this long non-coding RNA (2497 nucleotides) under Homo sapiens (human). Its description in RNAcentral is "HSALNT0129124". The record is from RNAcentral. Lineage: Eukaryota; Metazoa; Chordata; Mammalia; Primates; Hominidae.
CGGGCAUAUGUGCAGAGGAGGGGCGGAUGAAGAGGGAAAGAAAAGACUAGAAAGAGGAAAGAAGGGGCCAAGAAUCAAGGACCCCUGUGCCAACACAGGGGGACAUGCCAAAUCUGGCCACCAAAGUCCUUUUGAGGCAACUGCAUGCAUCAUCGUCAUCAUCGUCAUCACCGUCAUCACCGUCGUCACUGUAACUCUACUUGCUGUCUGCCAACCACUUUACUGAGCAGACCAUCCUAGUAGCAACCCACCUUCUAGCUUCAAGGCUGUCCAUAGACCUUAGGCUGCCAGGAAACCAGUUAUAAGCAGGGAGACAAAAGGGAUCCAGAGGAUGGAGAGGCAUUCUGAGUUCCGCUAAUGAGUGAGCAGGAUGUCAUUGCCUGUCAGUGCCACAUGUUGAAGACGUGAAGGUGGGAGAAUCACAAGAUAGAAGUGGCCUAGUUCCUUGAAUUACCACUUGGAAGAGAACCACCACUAUCAGCCACUAUUACCACACCCAUGCAGGAAGUUCUGGGAGACUUCACGUUGUACUUUGAUGUAAAAUCUCUCACUCAUAGGAGUAUGGGAAUGUAAAUCCGCCUGGAAACGUUAAACUCAUCAAACAACAUGAAACUGUACAGCCCUCAAUCCAUACCCAAGAGGCUGGAUCCACCUCUCACCCUAGACUAAGAUUCUACAAAUUAUUAUUUGACUUCCUUUGAAAAACUGAUUGCCAGCUUUAUAACUCGAUCUGGGCACACUCCCCAUCGGGGCCUGCAUUUCCUGUGGAUGAUGCAUUGGUUUCCAAGGUGACGGUGGGAAGGAAUAGACCUGUUAGCUUGUGGCUUCUGACUCACUCACUGCAAUGGACGUCAUAGAAUUGUAGCUGAACAAAUGGAUGCUGAUAAUAAGUAUGUGCCUAAGGUAGCAGCGGGGCACCAAUGGUUAAAACAAUCCCAUUGUACCAGCUCUCUCUCCCUCCCACUAAGCAAGCCGACAGGCCAACAGAAAUACCGGAACUGAAAAAAGAUACAACAGAUUUCCCCAGUCAUAUAUAAGUUCACAGUGAAGUCCUAUUUACAUCCCCGAGAUUUUGCUCCUACGCCUGGAGAAUUUCCUUUUCCUUUCCGGAAUGUAGAAGUACCAGGAUUCUGUAACAAAUCGUCAUAUGGAGGCUGAAGAGAGUGUGAUGGAAACAAGCCAAAAACUCACCAGAAGUCUGUUCACGAAGGUGACAGCCGCUUUUGAACUUUUAAAUUUGUUUCUUGUGAGGCAAUUCACAGUGGACUAACAAUCAUCAGAGCCCAGAAUGAAACAUACAUUCUGCUGAGAAAUUAAUCUUCAGAAAAGUUGAAUUUCAUGAAGUCUGAAGAUGCUCUCUCUCUCUCUCUCUCCCUCUCUCUCUCACAUACACACACACACACAGUGUGUGUGUGUCUUCUUGUCUUCAGGCUCACUCACCCACACACACAAAGACAGAGAGAGAGACACAGAGAGAAAGAGAUAGAGAGAUAGAGGGAGAGACAGAGAUAGAGUGAAAGAGAGAGAAUGAUUGAGAUUGACUUUCUAGCUACGUCUUUUUGUAUCAACUGAUCCCAGCCACCUAUAAGUCAAAGAAGACUGCCUGGAAUAAAAAAAAUAUAUAUGUGAAGAGCCCCGUGUUCUUCAUGUCCGAACCAGGGAAGACUGAAUGGAUUCUUUAGAUUCUUGAGUUCCUUAAACGAUGAGCAAACCUAAAGGUUCCCUACUGGAGAUAAUGCAUCUUGUUUUCCACUGGGCCUUGCGGGAUGCUUUAAAUAGCAUCAGCAAGCAUCCGAAUGAAUUAGACAGCAAAUGUAGGUUAGCUUUAUUUAGACAGAUAAAGACAAGCAGAGAAAGUUGUCUGGUUCAAGGGCAGUGCAGCCUGACACGACAGCAUUUCUCUGAGGAGGGGAAAUUGCUUUGGGAGAGAGAGGUAUUUUGGGCAAAAAGCAAAGUUCCUUGGAUCUCCAGGGAAAGUGAUGCUAAAUUCUUCAGUACAGAAGAGCUGGAAUUGAGAAUGGCUUGCCAUUCAUUGAAGGAAAGAGCUGGAGAGUUAAAAUGUAAAGCAAAACUCAGUAUCACACAUCAUCCCUAAGUCCACACAUCAUUUUUUCUCUUUCCUAUUUCUUGGGAACACCACCAGAAAAGACAGGCUUCCCAGAACACAAGCUGGCCUAGCCAGUUUACACGAGUCCUCUGGAGUGUACUUGAGACCCCUGGCAAUUCUGAGUCAGGAAAUUAGUGCAGCUGAAGAACCCCUGGAGACUGGAAGCCUAGGAAGCAGGGAAACUGGCAUAUUUGGGGACAUUCACACGUUAAACAGAAAUGUGAAUGCUUGAGAAAAAGUUACAACUAAUGAAUUUAGUUAAUUUUCUUCUUCUUCCCCUAUCCACUCUCUUAGACUAUUUUUUGAAAAUAAAGGCCGGGCGUGGUGUCUCACACCUGUAAUCCCAGCACUUUGGGAGGCCGAGGCAGGCGGAUCACCUGAGGUCAGGAG